GAUGAAGAAGUAGCGAAAUGCGAUAAGUAAUGUGAAUUGCAGAAUUCAGUGAAUCAUCGAAUCUUUGAACGCAUCUUGCGCUCCUUGGUAUUCUGAGGAGCAUGCCUGUUUGAGUGUCAUUAAAUUCUCAACCGCACUGACUUUGAAUUGGUGUGGCUUGGAUUUGGGGGGAAAAUUGUUGUGGGCUUUUUUGUAUAGUCUGCUCCCCUGAAAUUGAUUAGCGGUACCUUUGUGGAACUGUCUACAGGUGUGAUAAUUAUCUACAUCCUAGACAUCUGCUGGAAUGCUGCUUUCUAAACCUUACUUGUAUUGACAAUCUUGACCUCAAAUCAGGUAGGACUACCCGCUGAACUUAAGCAUAUCAAUAAGCGGAGGA
RNAcentral lists this unclassified non-coding RNA (376 nucleotides) under soil metagenome. RNAcentral describes it as "partial contains 5.8S ribosomal RNA, internal transcribed spacer 2, and large subunit ribosomal RNA". The stretch from base 1 to 119 matches the Rfam family "5.8S ribosomal RNA", at positions 35 to 154 of the family's 154-position model. The record is from RNAcentral.